Molecule: ribosomal RNA, 492 nt
Filed under: uncultured bacterium
Lineage: Bacteria
Description: partial 16S ribosomal RNA
Rfam family: Bacterial small subunit ribosomal RNA
Source: RNAcentral
AGUGAACGCUGGCGGUAGGCCUAACACAUGCAAGUCGAACGGCAGCACAGUAAGAGCUUGCUCUUACGGGUGGCGAGUGGCGGACGGGUGAGGAAUACAUCGGAAUCUACUUUUUCGUGGGGGAUAACGUAGGGAAACUUACGCUAAUACCGCAUACGGCCUACGGGUGAAAGCAGGGGAUCUUCGGACCUUGCGCGAUUGAAUGAGCCGAUGUCGGAUUAGCUAGUUGGCGGGGUAAAGGCCCACCAAGGCGACGAUCCGUAGCUGGUCUGAGAGGAUGAUCAGCCACACUGGAACUGAGACACGGUCCAGACUCCUACGGGAGGCAGCAGUGGGGAAUAUUGGACAAUGGGCGCAAGCCUGAUCCAGCCAUACCGCGUGGGUGAAGAAGGCCUUCGGGUUGUAAAGCCCUUUUGUUGGGAAAGAAAAGCAGCAGGUUAAUACCCCGCUGUUCUGACGGUACCCAAGGAAUAAGCACCGGCUAACUUCGUG